UUGGGAAUCUUGCACAAUGGGGGAAACCCUGAUGCAGCGACGCCGCGUGGAGGAUGACGGAUUUAGGUCUGUAAACUCCUUUUUCAGGGAAAGACUUAGGACGGUACCCUGAGAAUAAGCUCCGGCUAACUACGUGCCAGCAGCCGCGGUAAGACGUAGGGAGCAAGCGUUGUCCGGAUUUACUGGGCGUAAAGCGCGCGUAGGCGGUCUGUUAAGUGAGAAGUGAAAUCUCCAGGGCUCAACCCGGAAACUGCUUUUCAUACUGGCAGACUUGAGGGAAGCAGAGGUUUGUGGAAUUCCUGGUGUAGCGGUGAAAUGCGAUGAUAUCAGGAGGAACACCAAUGGCGAAGGCAGCAAACUGGGCUUCAUCUGACGCUGAGGUGCGAAAGCGUGGGUAGCAAACAGG
RNAcentral lists this ribosomal RNA (406 nucleotides) under uncultured bacterium. RNAcentral describes it as "bacterial SSU rRNA". It matches the Rfam family "Bacterial small subunit ribosomal RNA", at positions 355 to 776 of the family's 1533-position model. The record is from RNAcentral.